CGAGGAAUUUUCCGCAAUGGGCGAAAGCCUGACGGAGCAACGCCGCGUGGGGGAAGAAGGCCUUCGGGUUGUAAACCCCUGUUGCGAGGGAAGAAGAUCUGACGGUACCUCGCGAGGAAGCCACGGCUAACUACGUGCCAGCAGCCGCGGUAAUACGUAGGUGGCAAGCGUUGUCCGGAUUUACUGGGCGUAAAGGGCGCGUAGGCGGUGUGUCAAGUCAGUUGUGAAAUCUCCGAGCUUAACUCGGAACGGUCAACUGAUACUGUCACACUAGAGUACAGAAGGGGCAAUCGGAAUUCUUGGUGUAGCGGUGAAAUGCGUAGAUAUCAAGAGGAACACCUGAGGUGAAGACGGGUUGCUGGGCUGACACUGACGCUGAGGCGCGAAAGCCAGGGGAGCAAACGGGAUUAGAUACCCACGUAGUCCCUGAGCGGGCUGGCAAGGCGCAU
RNAcentral lists this ribosomal RNA (449 nucleotides) under uncultured bacterium. RNAcentral's name for it is "bacterial SSU rRNA". It matches the Rfam family "Bacterial small subunit ribosomal RNA", at positions 355 to 825 of the family's 1533-position model. The record is from RNAcentral.